AAGUGUUAUUGUUCACCAAUCAAAUGUGUUUUUUAUUCCGUACUUGGCAUAUAGUGAUGGAAUGAGAGUCAUUGAAUUUGGCAAGCAAUAAUUAUAGUAAACAAGUAAUAGAUGAUGAGGCCACAGAAGUAUGAUGUGAUUAAUUAGGUUGAGGAAAAAAGUUAGUUA
Molecule: long non-coding RNA, 168 nt
Organism: Juglans microcarpa x Juglans regia
Lineage: Eukaryota; Viridiplantae; Streptophyta; Magnoliopsida; Fagales; Juglandaceae
Exons: 2
Source: RefSeq, a predicted model, not a curated record